Molecule: ribosomal RNA, 501 nt
Filed under: uncultured bacterium
Lineage: Bacteria
Description: partial 16S ribosomal RNA
Rfam family: Bacterial small subunit ribosomal RNA
Source: RNAcentral
AUUGAACGCUGGCGGCAGGCUUAACACAUGCAAGUCGAGCGGAGAUGAGGUGCUUGCACCUUAUCUUAGCGGCGGACGGGUGAGUAAUGCUUAGGAAUCUGCCUAUUAGUGGGGGACAACAUUCCGAAAGGAAUGCUAAUACCGCAUACGUCCUACGGGUGAAAGCAGGGGAUCUUCGGACCUUGCGCUAAUAGAUGAGCCUAAGUCGGAUUAGCUAGUUGGUGGGGUAAAGGCCUACCAAGGCGACGAUCUGUAGCGGGUCUGAGAGGAUGAUCCGCAACACUGGGACUGAGACACGGCCCAGACUCCGACGGGAGGCAGCAGUGGGGAAUAUUGGACAAUGGGGGGAACCCUGAUCCAGCCAUGCCGCGUGUGUGAAGAAGGCCUUAUGGUUGUAAAGCACUUUAAGCGAGGAGGAGGCUACUGAGACUAAUACUCUUGGAUAGUGGACGUUACUCGCAGAAUAAGCACCGGCUAACUCUGUGCCAGCAGCCGCCGUAA